RNAcentral lists this non-coding RNA (173 nucleotides) under chicken gut metagenome. RNAcentral describes it as "malK-I RNA". It matches the Rfam family "malK-I RNA". The record is from RNAcentral.
GCGCCGCGGCACUCCAUUUUCAUGUCGCGGCGUACAGAAAAGAAGGAGGAAUUUUACCGCGGGCUUGCGGUGCGCCAGUGUGGAGACCUGGCGUAAUGCCCCGCGCCACUUUGCGGGCGGGGGCGAGGCGCGUCAUUGCGGAGGCAGGCGCGUCAAAGCCAAUGGAAAUGGCA